RNAcentral lists this ribosomal RNA (478 nucleotides) under uncultured bacterium. RNAcentral's name for it is "partial 16S ribosomal RNA". It matches the Rfam family "Bacterial small subunit ribosomal RNA", at positions 28 to 507 of the family's 1533-position model. The record is from RNAcentral.
GAUGAACGCUGGCGGCGUGCUUAACACAUGCAAGUCGAACGGGAAACCUUUUAAUGAAGCUUCCGCAGAUUUAGCUGGUUUCUAGUGGCGGACGGGGGAGUAACGCGUUGGUAACCUGCCUUAUACAGGGGGAUAACAGUCAGAAAUGACUGCUAAUACUGCAUAACCGCACAGGACCGCAUGGUCCGGUGUGAAAAACUCCGGUGGUAUAAGAUGGACCCGAGUUGGAUUAGCUGGUGGGUGGGGUAACGGCCCACCAAGGCGACGAUCCAUAGCCGGCCUGAGAGGGUGAACGGCCACAUUGGGACUGAGACACGGCCCAGACUCCUACGGGAGGGAGCAGUGGGGAAUAUUGCACAAUGGGGGAAAACCUGAUGCAGCGACGCCGCGUAAAGGAAGAAGUAUCUCGAUAUGUAAACUUCUAUCAGCAGGGAAGAUAGUGACGGUACCUGACUAAGAAGCCCCGGCUAACUACGUG